Molecule: long non-coding RNA, 125 nt
Organism: Haliotis rubra (blacklip abalone)
Lineage: Eukaryota; Metazoa; Mollusca; Gastropoda; Lepetellida; Haliotidae
Exons: 3
Source: RefSeq, a predicted model, not a curated record
UUUGAAAAUUCAAGAUACAUGCAGCGUUCAAAAUUAACAUCGGUCCUUGGGCCCGAAGCCGACUGAAAACCACUUGGACACACAGCUUCUGUUUUCUGCAGGUCCUUAUGGCCUUGAUAGCUGGG